GAUCUCUGGUCCAGUGGUCUCAUAGUGGACCUUCGGGUUGGAAGGGUUUUCAAAUUGCUGCAGGACAUAAGCAUUGGGUGUCUUAGCUAAUAUUUCUUCUGCCUUCUGAACAGCUCCUUUCAUGCCCCUUGCUGGAUCCGUAAGAACCAGCUCAGCUCCAAAAGCACGGAGAACCAUCCUUCUUUCUAGACUCAUUGAAGCAGGCAUCGUAAUUAUGAGCUUGUA
RNAcentral lists this unclassified non-coding RNA (225 nucleotides) under Hevea brasiliensis (rubber tree). Lineage: Eukaryota; Viridiplantae; Streptophyta; Magnoliopsida; Malpighiales; Euphorbiaceae. The record is from RNAcentral.